CUUGGCCGCUCGGUCUGUCGUGUGAUGAAGCUUGCGGUUGCCGAGGAGGAGCGGCAGUCCCAGCUUGUUCUACGAAACACGGAAGAGAUGCGGAGAUACCGAGCACAAGGCGAAUCGCACCGCAAAACUUUAACCCUCUCAACACGUGGUCCGUCAAGGAAGCUACAAUUACUUCCUUUCGGAUUUGAGAGCAAAUUGUUAGGUAAGCCGUCACGUGGACACGUCGUUAUUUAUAAUGAGUCACGAAUAUGCAUCUGCGAUUGCGUGUACGUACCCGUAUCUUACAUAUUCAAUUUGCCAUGUUCUAUUUACGAGACAAGCAUAUGGAGACAAGACUCGUCAGAUAAAAC
Molecule: long non-coding RNA, 350 nt
Organism: Solenopsis invicta (red fire ant)
Lineage: Eukaryota; Metazoa; Arthropoda; Insecta; Hymenoptera; Formicidae
Exons: 2
Source: RefSeq, a predicted model, not a curated record